GACGACGUAUGAUCCCCUCAACGACUACGACCCGAACCAUUGGAUCCUGACCCGGUAACUUUAUCGAUCGACCCGUUUACCUGCUUCAUUUCCUCUCUUAUUCUCUGUUUGUGAUUCUUGUUGUGGACAUUGAACUAUUGCGAUAAUUGGAGUUUGAUCACUGCCUCCAGAUGAUAUCAAUUUCACGUUUUUUCUUUCAUAUCAGUUUAAAUGGGUUAUGUGAUUUUGGUACUAAAAUGAUAAUCUUUCGGCAAAUUUCCUAUCUUGCGAUGAUCUUAACACUCAAAAUAGUUUUUUUUUUCUUUUUUUCUUUCUAGAGUUAUGGUGAUCAUUGAUCAUUUUUCAUUAAGCUGUUGGGUUAUGUAUCACAUUCACGAGGUCAGCCGCUAGAUAUUUUCCUUCUAAUCAGAUAACUUCAUUGUUCAUAUUGAAUCUUGAGGAACACAUUAUGUUUCAGUACUCAGAUUUUGAGUUGAUUACUUAGAUUUGCCUGAAUGCUUUUUCGUUUAUUUGAAUAAUAAAUGCAGACUCUUUUCUCCCCGGAAGCAGCUUGUGAGGUAAAAGAAGCAGAGAGACACUCUGAUGUUUUCCAUGAGGCCGAGCCUGAUGUAUGGAUGGUCAUGAGAAAAAUAAGGAGAUUGAAGCCAUAUGGAGGAUUGAUGCAUUGCACAAGGUGCAAAAAGCUUAUCCGAUCGCAUUUGUAUCCAUUAUCACACACUGUUUAAAUGGUACUGCAGCGGUGCAUUUCUCCAUGGAUUAAAAAUUCUGCAUUUACAACCUCUUAAUAAAGUUCUUUUCAGAUGUUUAGUUUUUUAAUUACUAAGUUGAAAAGAAUGAUCAUGUUGUCUACAACACUUGGUCGUAGAACUUGACCCCUGACGGUUUCAAAAGGUCAAAACAAACUUCUAAUCCAAAUUAAUUAUCAUUAGAUCCAAAU
RNA transcript from Brassica rapa (field mustard), 937 nucleotides. It is a transcript of the gene named vacuolar fusion protein CCZ1 homolog B-like, with no coding region annotated. The record is from RefSeq and is a predicted model, not a curated record. Lineage: Eukaryota; Viridiplantae; Streptophyta; Magnoliopsida; Brassicales; Brassicaceae.